GGCCCCACUAAUCCCCACUUAAUCCCGUGUUUGGUUUGAUGUAUUGCCUAUUACAGGCCUAUUACAACACGGAUGUAUUCCUCAUUUUCUCUGCUUCAACAACGAUUAGCCAUUCCGUUCCAAAAGUAAGGAUUAGCUAAUCGUCUCUGUUUUACCCUCCCCAGCCAAAAUCUGCUGCUCCACCCCACCCUCUCCCUCCCAACAUCAACAGCAGUUUUCUUCGAACCAAAU
This 231-nucleotide long non-coding RNA is filed under the name Gossypium raimondii (Peruvian cotton). RNAcentral's name for it is "long non-coding RNA (GRAI_LNC009005)". Lineage: Eukaryota; Viridiplantae; Streptophyta; Magnoliopsida; Malvales; Malvaceae. The record is from RNAcentral.